RNAcentral lists this ribosomal RNA (253 nucleotides) under uncultured bacterium. RNAcentral's name for it is "partial 16S ribosomal RNA". It matches the Rfam family "Bacterial small subunit ribosomal RNA", at positions 524 to 776 of the family's 1533-position model. The record is from RNAcentral.
UACGGAGGGUGCAAGCGUUGUCCGGAUUUAUUGGGUUUAAAGGGUGCGUAGGUGGCCCGUUAAGUCCGGGGUGAAAGCCCACUGCUCAACAGUGGAACUGCCCUGGAUACUGGCGGGCUUGAGAGUAGUCGAGGGUGGCGGAAUGGACGGUUUAGCGGUGAAAUGCAUAGAUACCGUCCAGAACCCCAAUUGCGUAGGCAGCUUCCUAGGCUACAUCUGACACUGAGGCACGAAAGCGUGGGGAGCGAACAGG